ACUCCUACGGGAGGCAGCAGUGGGGAAUAUUGCACAAUGGGCGCAAGCCUGAUGCAGCAACGCCGCGUGAGCGAUGAAGGCCUUCGGGUCGUAAAGCUCUGUCCUCAAGGAAGAAUAAAUGACGGUACUUGAGGAGGAAGCCCCGGCUAACUACGUGCCAGCAGCCGCGGUAAUACGUAGGGGCAAGCGUUAUCCGGAAUCACUGGGCGUAAAGGGUGCGUAGGCGGUUUUUCAAGUCAGAAGUGAAAGGCUAUGGCUCAACCAUAGUAAGCUUUUGAAACUGUUAAACUUGAGUGCAGGAGAGGAAAGUGGAAUUCCUAGUGUAGAGGUGAAAUUCGUAGAUAUUAGGAGGAACACCAGUGGCGAAGGCGACUUUCUGGACUGUAACUGACGCUGAGGCACGAAAGCGUGGGAGCGAACAGGAUUAGAUACCCUGGUAGCGACUGA
RNAcentral lists this ribosomal RNA (447 nucleotides) under uncultured bacterium. Its description in RNAcentral is "bacterial SSU rRNA". It matches the Rfam family "Bacterial small subunit ribosomal RNA", at positions 335 to 803 of the family's 1533-position model. The record is from RNAcentral.